Molecule: ribosomal RNA, 239 nt
Filed under: uncultured bacterium
Lineage: Bacteria
Description: partial 16S ribosomal RNA
Rfam family: Bacterial small subunit ribosomal RNA
Source: RNAcentral
CCGGCGCACGGGUGAGUAACACGUAUCCAACCUGCCGUCUACUCUUGGACAGCCUUCUGAAAGGAAGAUUAAUACAAGAUGGCAUCAUGAGUUCACAUGUUCACACGAUUAAAGGUAUUCCGGUAGACGAUGGGGAUGCGUUCCAUUAGAUAGUAGGCGGGGUAACGGCCCACCUAGUCUUCGAUGGAUAGGGGUUCUGAGAGGAAGGUCCCCCACAUUGGAACUGAGACACGGUCCAA